This 176-nucleotide ribosomal RNA is filed under the name Mycoplasmoides gallisepticum. RNAcentral describes it as "Mycoplasma gallisepticum partial 23S ribosomal RNA". The record is from RNAcentral. Lineage: Bacteria; Bacillati; Mycoplasmatota; Mycoplasmoidales; Mycoplasmoidaceae.
GCUACAUUGUUCUUUGAAAACUGAAUACGACAAAUCUUUCUAGUCCGAAAUUUGAUUAAAGUAUCAAAUCAAAUCAAAUUUCAUAUAAUAUAGAUUCAAUAAAAAUAGCUAAUGGAUCAAAUACAUAAGUUACUAAGGGCUUAUGGUGGAUGCCUUGGGUCUGAAAGUCGAUGAAG